Orcinus orca (killer whale) is the source of this 186-nucleotide long non-coding RNA. RefSeq lists it as uncharacterized. The record is from RefSeq and is a predicted model, not a curated record. The transcript is spliced from 3 exons. Lineage: Eukaryota; Metazoa; Chordata; Mammalia; Artiodactyla; Delphinidae.
AUGCAGAGACCUACUCUUUUAGCCACCGGCUGCUGGAGACAGCCACGUAGACAAAUUGCUACCAAGUCAGCCUGUUGUAGCUGAACAGCUAUUGUAGACCCUCAUAAUCUGACUUCAUAAUGGAGACUGCCACAUUCACUGUACUGGCACUAAACAAGAAAAAAAUAAAAUCAGCUUUGGUUGCUU